AAAGUCCUUGACGACCACAGGAGUCAGGCAGGCAGGCAGGCAGGCAGGCAGGCAGGCAAGCAGGCAAAGUCCCAAGAAAGCAUAAUAGAUGAUCCGGGAAGUUAGGAUUUCUUAUUUAUUAGCCCCGUGAACCCCCUCUGUACUUGGGGCGCAUCUACAUCGCACGAGGGUUUGGUGUGGCUUGGUGCCGUCUGUUCGCUUUCCAAGCCGGGGUGAUACACUAUUGCGGAUUUCUCCACAGCGAGCGUUCUCUCUUUUUGCCCCUCAGAAACCCAAAUUCCAAAAGAGGGAAUAAGAAAUGGGAAGCAUAGGAUAGCAAUGGGCGGGUCUGUUACGGGUGCCUGGGGACACAUCCACGAUUGGAUGGGAACCGAGCAGCCGGAGCUUGAAGCUGUGGAGAGAAGUGCAAACUAACUUCUACAUGCCUUUCCAGCCUUACCUCCUUACUGACUGCAGGAUAUGGUCAGGAUACGGACGGAACCAUUAUAUGGGCGCAAUCAUAGUUCAGAAAAAAAGACUUUUAAAAUUAAAUUUUGUCUCUGAUACCAAGUUUGUUUGGAAAAUUAAAAUAUGAACUUAAUUGACAAGUGGCACAUCGUGCGAAGCUUUCAUAGAACUAGUUAGGUAAAAUUACCAAAAAGAAAAAUAAAACAGAACGUAAAAGAAAUAAGAAAUAAGAAAGGCUAAAUAUAGUCAAUAUGUUGGAAUAAUUAAGGAAACAAAAAUAAUGAAGCAUAUUAAGUUAGG
RNAcentral lists this small RNA (747 nucleotides) under Histoplasma capsulatum. Its description in RNAcentral is "hypothetical RNA". The record is from RNAcentral. RNAcentral also lists the same sequence under 1 other name. Lineage: Eukaryota; Fungi; Ascomycota; Eurotiomycetes; Onygenales; Ajellomycetaceae.